RNAcentral lists this ribosomal RNA (253 nucleotides) under uncultured bacterium. RNAcentral's name for it is "partial 16S ribosomal RNA". It matches the Rfam family "Bacterial small subunit ribosomal RNA", at positions 524 to 776 of the family's 1533-position model. The record is from RNAcentral.
UACGGGGGGGGUAAGCGUUGUUCGGAAUUACUGGGCGUAAAGGGCGCGUAGGCGGCCUUCUAAGUCGAACGUGAAAUCCCCGGGCUCAACCCGGGAACUGCGUCCGAGACUGGAAGGCUUGAAUCCGGGAGAGGGAUGUGGAAUUCCAGGUGUAGCGGUGAAAUGCGUAGAUACCUGGAGGAACAUCGGUGGCGAAGGCGGCAUCCUGGACCGGUAUUGACGCUGAGGCGCGAAAGCCAGGGGAGCAAACGGG